CGUUACCAGCAUUUCUGAAGGUGAGCCAAGCCCCGGUGCUGCAGCAGAGGCGAGCCAAAGGCAAAAGGAUGAAGCCGGCAUUGCAGCUGUAGUAGAGCACGGUCCCUUCCACCGGAGGCCCGGGAGGCUUCACCGUGACCCGGCCGUUCUCCAGAGACGUCCAUACCCGCGGACACUGCAGCAGACAUUUGCUUUCCUGCCCCAUGUCCGUCCAUGUGCCGUUGGGUAAACACUUCCUGACGUUGGGUCCAACGAUCACCCGGUUUGAUCUG
This is a long non-coding RNA of Melanotaenia boesemani (Boeseman's rainbowfish), 272 nucleotides long. RefSeq lists it as uncharacterized. The transcript has 4 exons. Lineage: Eukaryota; Metazoa; Chordata; Actinopteri; Atheriniformes; Melanotaeniidae. The record is from RefSeq and is a predicted model, not a curated record.